GACCCAGGAUGCGGCUGCUCGUGGCAGUCAGGAGAUGGGAGUGAGAGCCAGCCUGACCACGAAUUAGCUACCUCUCACUAACACUUCAGGAAGCCUCCCUUAGGCAAAAUUCCUCUUAGCCUUGUGCAAGGUAUCUUGCACUUAAUGUUCACCAGAAGUGCUCAUGAGCCACAGUGUUCUGCAUGUCACCAUCUCAAUACUUUGCUACUAAUUUUCCCGUACAGGCAAACAACCCUGGCUUAUUCAGCGGCAGAAGGAUGAAGGAUUAUCUUUGAUCUUGUCUUAUCCCCUGGAUCCCGUGGGCUGGUAUUUGUUCCAUGUCUGCAAACACACAGAAAGGAUGGAAAUCAUAAAAGAAGAGUACAGAGAACUCCUCAAAGACGUGCCAUGAAACUGAUGCCUUGGAGGUCCUGAGCAGUAUUCUCUGUGCCUCAGUUCCCUGUCUGUAAGAUGAGGACACUCACAGGAGUGGUUUGAGGAGGAAAGUGUUCAUUGUGAUGAUGUCUGGCGAAACGACAAUGUACUAUCAUCUGCAGACAUGCUACAUUGACGUAGCAGCUCUGCUAGUGUGUGUCAGUGGUGUUUUAGUGUAAGACACAGUACAGGGGUCUUCAUCUUGCAGUCUUUCAGGAGCUUCUGGGCACAUUAGUCUAGAUUUAGACCUCAAUUUAUCCCAAGAAGUAGAUGCCAAGGAAAUUCUUCCUGGUAGCUACUGAUAUUUGUGGCUUACUAGAGCUAAGGAGAAGUGAAGUGAGCUCUGCUAUUCAGUUUCUACCCAGUGAGGCUUUUCUUUUUCAUCGUGUUUGAGUUACACUCCUUUCUGUGGCUAUACCAUGACACGCGCCAUUCUUCAAAGUCAGAGUCAUUCCCACCUGAAUGCAUGCAAACCAAACCUAUGACAUCGUUCAGCGGUUCAAAGAGCUACAGCACCACCUCAUCAUCCAUCUUGGACACAACUCCUUCAAGCAGAGUUGCCGACCUGUCUCAGCCAAAGGCUUCGCAGCUUUUAGCUGCUGAAUACUCAGAGAGAGAUGAACCAGACUUUUUAGCUGGACAGCCUCAGAACUGGAAAUUACAACAGGGCUCUGCUUCUUCCAGCAUGUCUUUAUUGGCCUGAAGUCAGCCCCUUUCUUCUGGAAAUAAAGUGUCUUGGGGAAACGCUUGGAUCAAAGAUAAGAGAGAACAAGGAAAGGAAUGAAGCAAGAGAGAAACAACAAAACAAAACCACCACCCCCCAAACUUUUUGACUAAACUCCUUUGUGAAUCGUGUGCAUGAUUACAGUAAAGUUAAAACUGCCUUCUUCUUCGCCAGUACUUAAUUCCUGCUUUUAAAAUCAGGCUCUCUUUGAUCUUGAGGAUUGAAAUGAUCUGGAAAUGAAACAGCCAUUGCUUUGCAGAAAAUCUGGAUAGGGUCCCAGACAUGGCUUUUACCUGGAAGGCUUCCAAAACAGGAUGAAAUCUCUCUAGUUUCAGAACAAAU
RNAcentral lists this long non-coding RNA (1480 nucleotides) under Calidris pygmaea (Spoon-billed sandpiper). RNAcentral describes it as "lncRNA (ENSCPGG00000013452.1)". Lineage: Eukaryota; Metazoa; Chordata; Aves; Charadriiformes; Scolopacidae. The record is from RNAcentral.